Molecule: long non-coding RNA, 288 nt
Organism: Uloborus diversus
Lineage: Eukaryota; Metazoa; Arthropoda; Arachnida; Araneae; Uloboridae
Exons: 3
Source: RefSeq, a predicted model, not a curated record
AGGAUCGGGAGCUAAGUUCUCGAACGACGGAACGAGUGCCGUACAGUUGUUAUUUUACCUGCGUUUCACAUGGUAUUGUUGAAAAGGGAAAACCGUUGAGUGCAUUUCGAAGUUUUAUCUUAAAUAAGUAUUUUAUGCUGCCGUUCCAGCUUCAGUGAUCUCGUAAUGGCUUGGCGCUCGUGAACAUGAGAACAAAGAGGAUUUUGCUUUGAUUCAUAAAGGAAACAAACAAUGAGUCUAAAAACUGUUUCUGGUGUCCAGUUGCAGAGACUGAAAAUUCCUGACUGA